Molecule: long non-coding RNA, 703 nt
Organism: Polypterus senegalus (gray bichir)
Lineage: Eukaryota; Metazoa; Chordata; Cladistia; Polypteriformes; Polypteridae
Exons: 4
Source: RefSeq, a predicted model, not a curated record
CGUACGGUAGGGCUGUGUUUACAUUCAGGCUGUCCUGGGUAUUUAAUUCGGCAAGCUUGUGCUUGCCGUUUUUUACUUCUUUGAUGUACAUGUCCCUUUACACACAGCUGCUUUCAUUGUUUUGUCUGGCUUACAGUAUAUUUUUAAAAUCAUUUUUCCUUCCCAGUAUUCAAAAAUCAUCAAUCCUUUGAGGAGAAUGAUGAGUGAAUGAAGGCUUCAUCUGUGCUAAUAGUAGCACCCCAUGAUGCUUUGCAAAGCCAGAGUGAUAUCACAAAACUGUCAGAUGGGACAGCCAUCCGGUUUUAUCCAGAGUGCUGCACAGUUGAUUCAGAUAGGAAGAAGGGAAGACUCCACAUGCUCUAGUGUUGUGCUUAUUUGGUAGCAGUGGCAGUGAAUGAGCGCAUCAGGCAAGAGAAAAGCAACAACAACAAACUGUAAUUUUCAGUUCUAAAAAGAAAUGUAAUAAGAUUACAAGAUUGGACCAUGCUUGUUGGAUCCACGCCUGAGCUGUGCACCAUGAAGGUACAACACACGGACGUCACACUGGAAAAAGUGCAAUGGCAUUCUGGAGGCUUAAAACAGGCAAAUCCUGCGAAACUCUGUUGAAAUGUUCAUCUCAUUCUGAUACUAUGUGGUUGCUUUUAUAAAGAAAAUAAAAAAUAUGCCACUAGAACAUGCUAAAGCCCUCUGCAGGAGCUGAAUG